CUUGGCUUGGACGGCAAUACGCUUCGAACCUGGUCAGGUCUUGACAGAAGCAGCCAUAAGGGGCCCCUGUUGAGCGUCCAAGCCUUUUGU
RNAcentral lists this signal recognition particle RNA (90 nucleotides) under Coriobacteriales bacterium. Its description in RNAcentral is "signal recognition particle sRNA small type". It matches the Rfam family "Bacterial small signal recognition particle RNA". Rfam says of the family: The signal recognition particle (SRP) is a universally conserved ribonucleoprotein involved in the co-translational targeting of proteins to membranes. Archaeal SRP consists of a 7S RNA and homologues of the eukaryotic SRP19 and SRP54 proteins. The record is from RNAcentral. Lineage: Bacteria; Bacillati; Actinomycetota; Coriobacteriia; Coriobacteriales.